This 493-nucleotide ribosomal RNA is filed under the name uncultured bacterium. Its description in RNAcentral is "partial 16S ribosomal RNA". It matches the Rfam family "Bacterial small subunit ribosomal RNA", at positions 30 to 523 of the family's 1533-position model. The record is from RNAcentral.
AUUGAACGCUGGCGGCAUGCCUUACACAUGCAAGUCGAACGGUAACAGGUUAAGCUGACGAGUGGCGAACGGGUGAGUAAUAUAUCGGAACGUGCCCAGUCGUGGGGGAUAACGUAGCGAAAGCUACGCUAAUACCGCAUACGAUCUACGGAUGAAAGCGGGGGAUCGAAAGACCUCGCGCGAUUGGAGCGGCCGAUAUCAGAUUAGGUUGUUGGUGAGGUAAAAGCUCACCAAGCCUGCGAUCUGUAGCUGGUCUGAGAGGACGACCAGCCACACUGGAACUGAGACACGGUCCAGACUCUUACGGGAGGCAGCAGUGGGGAAUUUUGGACAAUGGACGCAAGUCUGAUCCAGCAAUGCCGCGUGCAGGACGAAGGCCUUCGGGUUGUAAACUGCUUUUGUACGGAACGAAACGGUGAGCUCUAAUACGGUUUGCUAAUGACGGUACCGUAAGAAUAAGCACCGGCUAACUACGUGCCAGCAGCCGCGGUAA